AUUGAACGCUGGCGGCAUGCCUUACACAUGCAAGUCGAACGGCAGCGGGGGAGAAGCUUGCUUUUCCUGCCGGCGAGUGGCGAACGGGUGAGUAAUACAUCGGAACGUGCCCUGUAGUGGGGGAUAACUAGUCGAAAGAUUAGCUAAUACCGCAUACGACCUGAGGGUGAAAGUGGGGGACCGCAAGGCCUCAUGCUAUAGGAGCGGCCGAUGUCUGAUUAGCUAGUUGGUGGGGUAAAGGCCUACCAAGGCGACGAUCAGUAGCUGGUCUGAGAGGGCGAUCGGCCAGACUGGGACUGAGACACGGCCCAGACUCCUACGGGAGGCAGCAGUUGGGAAUGUUGGACAAUGGGCGAAAGCCUGAUCCAGCAAUGCCGCGUGUGAAGAAGGCCUUCGGGUUGUAAAGCACUUUUGUCCGGAAAGAAAUGGCUCUGGUUAAUACCUGGGGUCGAUGACGGUACCGGAAGAAUAAGGACCGGCUAACUACGUGCCAGCCGCCGCCGUAA
This 506-nucleotide ribosomal RNA is filed under the name uncultured bacterium. Its description in RNAcentral is "partial 16S ribosomal RNA". It matches the Rfam family "Bacterial small subunit ribosomal RNA", at positions 30 to 523 of the family's 1533-position model. The record is from RNAcentral.